UGAGGAAUAUUGGUCAAUGGACGGAAGUCUGAACCAGCCAUGCCGCGUGCAGGAUGACGGCCCUAUGGGUUGUAAACUGCUUUUAUUCGGGAAUAAACCUCUUUACGAGUAGAGAGCUGAAGGUACCGAACGAAUAAGCACCGGCUAACUCCGUGCCAGCAGCCGCGGUAAUACGGAGGGUGCAAGCGUUAUCCGGAAUCAUUGGGUUUAAAGGGUCCGCAGGCGGAUAUAUAAGUCAGUGGUGAAAUCCUACAGCUUAACUGUAGAACUGCCUUUGAUACUUUUAUUCUUGAGUUCGGGAGAGAGAGACGGAAUUCCAGGUGUAGUGGUGAAAUACGUAGAUAUCUGGAAGAACACCAGUUUCGAAGGCGGUCUCUUGGUCCGACACUGACGCUGAGGCGCGAAAGCGUGGGGAGCAAACA
Molecule: ribosomal RNA, 422 nt
Filed under: uncultured bacterium
Lineage: Bacteria
Description: bacterial SSU rRNA
Rfam family: Bacterial small subunit ribosomal RNA
Source: RNAcentral